UCUGCCCCUAGAGAUAUUGCAAGUGUGGCUUCCGUAUCACACCUGCAUUAGUUGGUGACAGAGAGGAGAGCUGAUAUGACUACACUCGGUGUUCUGAUCUGUGAACAUAUGAAUGAUUAGUAGCCUAGCACA
This 132-nucleotide small nucleolar RNA is filed under the name Mus pahari (shrew mouse). RNAcentral describes it as "predicted gene, 25311 (MGP_PahariEiJ_G0034409.1)". It matches the Rfam family "Small nucleolar RNA SNORA17". From Rfam's summary of the family: snoRNA ACA 17 belongs to the H/ACA family of snoRNAs and is predicted to guide pseudouridylation of the 28S rRNA at positions U4659 and U4598. It shares the same host gene together with ACA43. NB This family has a high threshold value to exclude a large number of closely related sequences that do not appear to have conserved H and ACA boxes, and may be pseudogenes. Lineage: Eukaryota; Metazoa; Chordata; Mammalia; Rodentia; Muridae. The record is from RNAcentral.